RNAcentral lists this ribosomal RNA (253 nucleotides) under uncultured bacterium. Its description in RNAcentral is "partial 16S ribosomal RNA". It matches the Rfam family "Bacterial small subunit ribosomal RNA", at positions 524 to 776 of the family's 1533-position model. The record is from RNAcentral.
UACAGAGGUCCCGAGCGUUGUUCGGAUUCAUUGGGCGUAAAGCGCACGUAGGCGGUUCGUUAUGUCGGAUGUGAAAGCCCUUGGCUUAACCGAGGAAGUGCAUCCGAAACUGGCGAGCUAGAGUACUAAAGAGGAUCGCGGAAUUCCCGGUGUAGAGGUGAAAUUCGUAGAUAUCGGGAGGAACACCGGUGGCGAAGGCGGCGAUCUGGGUAGAUACUGACGCUGAGGUGCGAAAGCGUGGGGAGCAAACAGG